GGAUGCAAUCAUACUAAUACUAAAGCACUAGAUCCCAUUAGAACGUCGAAGUUAAGCGUGUUUGGGUGAGAGUUGUACUAGGAUGGGUGAUCACCUGGUAAGUCCUCAUGUUGCACUCA
RNAcentral lists this ribosomal RNA (119 nucleotides) under Musa acuminata subsp. malaccensis (wild Malaysian banana). The record is from RNAcentral. Lineage: Eukaryota; Viridiplantae; Streptophyta; Magnoliopsida; Zingiberales; Musaceae.